CUUGGAACUGCAAUCAAAACUUUUCAGCUAGAGUAUGAUAGAGGAAAGCAGAAUUUCUAGUGUAGAGGUGAAAUUCGUAGAUAUUAGAAAGAAUACCAAUUGCGAAGGCAGCUUUCUGGAUCAUUACUGACACUGAGGAACGAAAGCAUGGGUAGCGAAGAGGAUUAGAUACCCUCGUAGUCCAUGCCGUAAACGAUGUGUGUUAGACGUUGGAAAUUUAUUUUCAGUGUCGCAGCGAAAGCGAUAAACACACCGCCUGGGGAGUACGACCGCAAGGUUAAAACUCAAAUGAAUUGACGGGGACCCGCACAAGUAGUGGAGCAUGUGGUUUAAUUCGAAGAUACGCGCAGAACCUUACCAACACUUGACAUGUUCGUCGCGACUUUAAGAGAUUAAAGUUUUCGGUUCGGCCGGACGAAACACAGGUGCUGCAUGGCUGUCGUCAGCUCGUGUCGUGAGAUGUUGGGUUAAGUCCCGCAACGAGCGCAACCCUCACUUUUAGUUGCCAUCAUUAAGUUGGGCACUCUGAAAGAACUGCCAGUGAUAAGCUGGAGGAAGGUGGGGAUGACGUCAGGUCCUCAUGGCCCUUACGUGUUGGGCUACACACGUGCUACAAUGGUAUCUACAACAGGAAGCAAGACUGCGAAGUUAAGCAAAUCCUUAAAAGAUACCUCAGUUCGGAUUGCACUCUGCAACUCGAGUGCAUGAAGCUGGAAUUACUAGUAAUCGUGGAUCAGCGUGCCACGGUGAAUGCGUUCCCGGGUCUUGUACACACCGCCCGUCACACCAUGGGAGUUGGUUCUACCUUAAGGCAAGGCUUCAAACCCUUGACCACGGUAUAGUCAGCGACUGGGGUGAAGUCGUAACAAGGUAACC
This 876-nucleotide ribosomal RNA is filed under the name uncultured bacterium. RNAcentral describes it as "bacterial SSU rRNA". It matches the Rfam family "Bacterial small subunit ribosomal RNA", at positions 614 to 1501 of the family's 1533-position model. The record is from RNAcentral.